UGUUUUAGUCAUAUUUUAAGAGUUGGAGGCGCAAUGGCCCAGUAGCUAGGGCAGUAGGCUCGCGGUCAUAAGAUUACGAUUUCAAUUCCCAGGACGGGCGUUGCGAGUGUUUAUUGAGCGAAAGCACUUAAAGCUCUACGAGUGGUUGCGAACCCUGCUAUCCUCUUUCACCACAAAUGUCUCUCUCUCUUUCUUUCUGUUUCUUUUGUACCUGUAUUUCAAAGGGCUAGUCUUGUCACACGCUGUGUCACGCUGAAACUCCCCGGGAACUACGUUAUGGGUACACGUAU
This is a long non-coding RNA of Octopus sinensis (East Asian common octopus), 290 nucleotides long. RefSeq lists it as uncharacterized. The transcript has 4 exons. NCBI's taxonomy places the organism in Eukaryota, Metazoa, Mollusca, Cephalopoda, Octopoda, Octopodidae. The record is from RefSeq and is a predicted model, not a curated record.